Molecule: ribosomal RNA, 1467 nt
Filed under: Triticum aestivum (bread wheat)
Lineage: Eukaryota; Viridiplantae; Streptophyta; Magnoliopsida; Poales; Poaceae
Description: partial small subunit ribosomal RNA
Source: RNAcentral
GAGGCCCAGUUUUCUUGCAGACAUUGUGCCGGUCUGUUUUGGUAUGAAGAGCGUCUACGCAGAGAAAGACAUACUUCAAAUCCAACAUAUAAUUUAUGUUGCAAAGGAGGAAAAGUUUCCCUGCAACCAUAUAAGCCUCCUCCUCAACCCCUAUUGGAUUUACUGACUUCACAGAAUCGCACACUGUCAAGCCACUUCUUUCAUCAUAUUCGUCAGUACAAUACCAUGUUUGCAAUGACUUCAAUGGGAGCUAAAAUUAAUGAGUCCAUAAAUGAUGGUCUGGGCCCCUACGUGUUCAAGAUUAGUGGCCAAGUCUGCCACCGUGUUGGUUCUUUGAGACCAGAACCUGGCAAGAGGCCAGAAUAUGCUUAGUUAUACAUGGUUGAUACAGAGCAUGAGGUAUCAAGCCGAAUAAAUGUUGCUUCAUCUUCACGCACUGCUACAUCUACACGCACUGCUUCAUCUACACGCAAUUCAUUCCAAGCUAAUGAAGGCAUUGUCCAGUCCCUCAUACAAAUGUUGAACACGCAUAAUCCCAUUGUCAAGCUGUUUAGGAUGGCAAGUCAAAGAUUAAAUGGGAAUGAUUCUGACCAUUUAUCAGUCAGAAUAUGUGGAAAACCUGAUGCCCAUGGCGAUAUAUAUAGUGCUCCAGUAGCGUCCGAGGUUGUUGGAUUGGUCAUUGGUGAUAUAGGGUCAUCUCAAGUAGGCCGAGACAUUAUAAUUGAAAAUCAUUCAUCGCAGUUGCAACGCAUGGAUGAAAAACACUGCAAAUUUAAGUCCAUGCAGUAUCCUCUGUUAUUUCCAUAUGGCGAGGAUGGCUAUCAUGAUGAACUUAUGUACCGUUCAGCAUCACACACAACUACUGGACGUCAGAAAGUCACAAUGCUAGAAUAUUAUGCAUAUAGGUUACAUGAUAGGCCAAAUGACUUCAACACUCCAUUAUGAUGCAAAAGAUUAACACAAGCUUACUUUGUGGACGACUAUUGCUGUGUUGAAACAUUCUGUAUUGGAUUCUUCCGGAAGCCUAGCUUUCAGCGUAAGUAUAGAUCAUCACCAUUCAGUUGUUUGGCAAAUUCUGUGUCAAGCGGUAUUACAACCGGUUCUGCUGUUGGCCAAAGGAUAAUACUACCUUCCUCAUUUACUGGAGGCCCUCGCUACUUAUACCAGAACUACCAAGACUCUAUCGCUAUCUGUAGAAAAUAUGGCUGCCCAGAUCUAUUUGUCACCUUCACAUCAAAUGCUGCCUGGCCUGAGAUUACAGAGGCUUUAUCAUCCAUUCCUGGACAAGAACCAUCUGACCGUCCAGAUAUUGUCAACCGGGUAUUGAAAAUGAAACUUAAUAUCCUGAUGGAUGAUAUUAAAAAGAAAGAGUUGUUUGGACCAAUAAAUGCAGGUAAUAAGAGUUCCCUUAAACUUAUAUUCCCUUCACACAACAUACUAUUUUGUCAAUUAUUUAACAUAUUUUAA